This 103-nucleotide non-coding RNA is filed under the name Streptomyces incarnatus. RNAcentral describes it as "SAM-IV sequence". It matches the Rfam family "SAM (S-adenosyl methionine) riboswitch aptamer". From Rfam's summary of the family: SAM-IV is a mRNA element that regulates gene expression via direct sensing of S-adenosylmethionine (SAM or AdoMet). SAM-IV riboswitches share conserved nucleotide positions with the previously described SAM-I riboswitches sequence analysis and molecular recognition experiments suggest that SAM-I and SAM-IV riboswitches share similar ligand binding sites, but have different scaffolds. Lineage: Bacteria; Bacillati; Actinomycetota; Actinomycetes; Kitasatosporales; Streptomycetaceae. The record is from RNAcentral.
GGCAUUGAGUGUCAGCGUCAAGCCCUCGGUCGCUGACCGGCAACCCUGCCACGCGGUGGGCUGCUCCAGGUGGAAGUCGGUGCGAUGCAGCGGAUCGCGGUGA